RNAcentral lists this long non-coding RNA (259 nucleotides) under Solanum tuberosum (potato). RNAcentral's name for it is "long non-coding RNA (STUB_LNC003377)". Lineage: Eukaryota; Viridiplantae; Streptophyta; Magnoliopsida; Solanales; Solanaceae. The record is from RNAcentral.
CAUAUUAUCCACUAGGAUUUUAAUUCAUUUUAAUUUUGAUAUUAAUGGUGGAGAUGGUAUUAUAAUAGUUACGUGAUGAAGACUACUCCGAAAGAUUGACGAAGAUGGUGGCUACGUAGAGGAUUUUUGGUGAUGGCAGCUAGAAGGACUGAAGAAGAGCAGAGGAGGGUAAUGAAGAAAGAAGAAGAAACAAAAAAAGAAAAAGAAAAUGAAGUUAAUAAAAUAAGAAAAAAACAAAAUGAAACUAAAGAUUAAAAAU